This 327-nucleotide small RNA is filed under the name Cryptococcus neoformans H99. RNAcentral describes it as "Cryptococcus neoformans var. grubii H99 hypothetical RNA". Lineage: Eukaryota; Fungi; Basidiomycota; Tremellomycetes; Tremellales; Cryptococcaceae. The record is from RNAcentral.
AUGGGCAGCAGCGCGGCGGGCAUCGAACGAAGGAAAGAAAGAACAAGUGAAUCGGAAACACUGAAAGUAUGGCAUGCACUAUGCGAAUGUCGCCAAUGGCAGCAGGACAUUCUGCUACUAAUAUUUAGCUGUUAACGGUUGAAAUACGUGGGGCAAGAUGGAUCAUUAUUGCCGUAGACAUUUCCUCCUCUACCGAUGGCUUGCAUUUCUCACUGACGAAACGUAAAUCUUAUAUACAUGUCCACAACAGACGAAAUGGAGUUUGAUUUGCUACUAUAUAUACAUGCUAUAUGGAUUGUUGCCCCCAGGCGCUCCUCCUAUCUUUUU